GCCACUGGUUUCAAGAGAAGGUCACUUUUGACAGCGAUCGUUUGGACAUUUGUAAUUGUGCAUAGUAUAUUAAUAAAGGCAACAAAAGGCUUUUUAAUGAAAAUGGCAGUGCAAAUCAUUACUAUUUUUAUUUAUUUAUUUAUUAUGGGUAGAGCUAAACCAAUUUCUAGAUAAAUAAUAGGAUUAGGAGCUAUAUGUAUAGUCCAUAUGUUUUUGGUCUGAAAGUUUCAAUUUAAACAAUUAGAAUGCUAUAGUUUCAAUUUGGUUUUGAAGUAAUCCUUCCAUCACUAAACGUUAAGUAUUUGUACGAUCUUGUGCUUUUUUUUUCCUGUCUAAAUUGUUAACGAGUAUUGAUGAAAGAACUACAUUGAACCAAAUUGAAAUUAUGAGGUUCUAAUUGUUCAAAUUAAAAUUAAAGGGACCAAAGUAAAACUUUGGUUAAACUACGGGAUAAUUAAGCUAAACAACGCUGCAAUUUGUCUCCAAUUUCACGUAGUCCCUAUGUUUCCAAUUAUGACUCUUAAAUUCUCAUAUUUUUGCUUUUGUUUUCUCCAUAAAAAUCCAAGAUUUAAACCCAGUAUUGACUUUUCCUAUGAGUUAGUUUGGUAAUCUUGGUAGUCUAAAACUGCGACUUCAAGGUCGCCUCUCAGAUUCAGAACUUCAGAAACUUCCU
RNAcentral lists this long non-coding RNA (673 nucleotides) under Actinidia chinensis (golden kiwifruit). RNAcentral's name for it is "long non-coding RNA (ACHI_LNC001298)". The record is from RNAcentral. Lineage: Eukaryota; Viridiplantae; Streptophyta; Magnoliopsida; Ericales; Actinidiaceae.